AGAGUUUGAUCCUGGCUCAGAGCGAACGCUGGCGGCAGGCCUAACACAUGCAAGUCGAACGGACCCUUCGGGGUUAGUGGCGGACGGGUGAGUAACACGUGGGAACGUGCCUUUAGGUUCGGAAUAGCUCCUGGAAACGGGUGGUAAUGCCGAAUGUGCCCUUCGGGGGAAAGAUUUAUCGCCUUUAGAGCGGCCCGCGUCUGAUUAGCUAGUUGGUGAGGUAACGGCUCACCAAGGCGACGAUCAGUAGCUGGUCUGAGAGGAUGACCAGCCACACUGGGACUGAGACACGGCCCAGACUCCUACGGGAGGCAGCAGUGGGGAAUCUUGCGCAAUGGGCGAAAGCCUGACGCAGCCAUGCCGCGUGAAUGAUGAAGGUCUUAGGAUUGUAAAAUUCUUUCACCGGGGACGAUAAUGACGGUACCCGGAGAAGAAGCCCCGGCUAACUUCGUGCCAGCAGCCGCGGUAAUACGAAGGGGGCUAGCGUUGCUCGGAAUUACUGGGCGUAAAGGGCGCGUAGGCGGAUCGUUAAGUCAGUGGUGAAACCCCAGGGCUCAACCCUGGAACUGCCUUUGAUACUGGCGAUCUUGAGUAUGAGAGAGGUAUGUGGCACUCCGAGUGUAGAGGUGAAAUUCGUAGAUAUUCGGAAGAACACCAGUGGCGAAAGCGACAUACUGGCUCAUUACUGACGCUGAGCGCGAAAGCGUGGGGAGCAACAGGAUUAGAUACCCUGGUAGUCCACGCCGUAAACGAUGAUUGCUAGUUGUCGGGCUGCAUGCAGUUCGGUGACGCAGCUAACGCAUUAAGCAAUCCGCCUGGGGAGUACNNCGCAUGAUNAAACUCCANGNUCGACNGGGNNGCAC
This 863-nucleotide ribosomal RNA is filed under the name uncultured bacterium. RNAcentral's name for it is "bacterial SSU rRNA". It matches the Rfam family "Bacterial small subunit ribosomal RNA", at positions 8 to 924 of the family's 1533-position model. The record is from RNAcentral.